UAACAUGCAAGUCGAACGGGAGAUGCUUCGGCACUUAGUGGCGGACGGGUGAGUAANGCGNUGAGAAUCUGCCUUCAGGACGGGGACAACGACUGGNAAACGGUCGCUAACACCCGAUGAGCCGAGAGGUAAAAACUUUAGUGCCUGAAGAAGAGCUCGCGUCGGAUUAGCUAGUUGGUGAGGUAAGAGCUUACCAAGGCGACGAUCCGUAGCUGGUCUGAGAGGAUGAUCAGCCACACUGGGACUGAGACACGGCCCAGACUCCUACGGGAGGCAGCAGUGGGGAAUUUUCCGCAAUGGGCGCAAGCCUGACGGAGCAACGCCGCGUGCGGGAGGAAGGCCCUUGGGUUGUAAACCGCUUUUGUCAGGGAAGAAGCUCUGACGGUACCUGACNAAUCAGCAUCGGCUAACUCCGUGCCAGCAGCCGCGGUAAUACGGAGGAUGCAAGCGUUAUCCGGAAUCAUUGGGCGUAAAGCGUCCGCAGGUGGUUAAACAAGUCUGCAGUCAAAGCGUGGGGCUUAACUCCAUAUCGGCUGUGGAAACUGUUUGACUAGAGUACGGUAGGGGUCGCGGGAAUUCCCAGUGUAGCGGUGAAAUGCGUAGAUAUUGGGAGGAACACCAGCAGCGAAGGCGCGCGACUGGGCCGUAACUGACACUGAGGGACGAAAGCCAGGGGAGCGAAAGGGAUUAGAUACCCCUGUAGUCCUGGCUGUAAACGAUGGAUACUAGGUGUUGCACGUAUCNACCCGUGCAGUGCCGUAGCUAACGCGUUAAGUAUCCCGCCUGGGGAGUACGCACGCAAGUGUGAAACUCAAAGGAAUUGACGGGGGCCCGCACAAGCGGGGGANUAUGUGGGUUUANUUCGAUGCA
This 870-nucleotide ribosomal RNA is filed under the name uncultured cyanobacterium. Its description in RNAcentral is "bacterial SSU rRNA". It matches the Rfam family "Bacterial small subunit ribosomal RNA", at positions 51 to 958 of the family's 1533-position model. Lineage: Bacteria; Bacillati; Cyanobacteriota. The record is from RNAcentral.